Non-coding RNA from Hyaloscypha variabilis F, 140 nucleotides. NCBI's taxonomy places the organism in Eukaryota, Fungi, Ascomycota, Leotiomycetes, Helotiales, Hyaloscyphaceae. The record is from the annotation of a GenBank genome assembly.
GGGGUUGUGGCUUAAUGGUAAAGCGCACUGAAAACACAAUUUCACGCGAUGACUACUAGGUCCUCGGACCUCUAGCAUGUCGAUAUGUCGAGUGGUUGGGUAACUCGGUGAGAUUGCUGGUUCGAGUCCAGCCGACUCCA